This 388-nucleotide ribosomal RNA is filed under the name uncultured bacterium. Its description in RNAcentral is "bacterial SSU rRNA". It matches the Rfam family "Bacterial small subunit ribosomal RNA", at positions 28 to 417 of the family's 1533-position model. The record is from RNAcentral.
GACGAACGCUGGCGGCGUGCUUAACACAUGCAAGUCGAGCGGUAAGGCCCUUUCGGGGGUACACGAGCGGCGAACGGGUGAGUAACACGUGGGUGACCUGCCCUCAGCUCUGGGUUAAGCCCGGGAAACUGGGUCUAAUACCGGAUAUGACUCGAUGACGCAUGUUGUGGGGUGGAAAGCCUUGUGCGGCUGAGGAUGGGCCCGCGGCCUAUCAGCUUGUUGGUGGGGUGAUGGCCUACCAAGGCGACGACGGGUAGCCGGCCUGAGAGGGCGACCGGCCACACUGGGACUGAGAUACGGCCCAGACUCCUACGGGAGGCAGCAGUGGGGAAUCUUGCGCAAUGGGCGAAAGCCUGACGCAGCGACGCCGCGUGAGGGAUGACGGCCU